RNAcentral lists this ribosomal RNA (206 nucleotides) under uncultured bacterium. RNAcentral describes it as "partial 16S ribosomal RNA". It matches the Rfam family "Bacterial small subunit ribosomal RNA", at positions 28 to 226 of the family's 1533-position model. The record is from RNAcentral.
GACGAACGCUGGCGGCGUGGAUUAGGCAUGCAAGUCGAACGAACACUUAGCUUUUUCGAGUGUGAGUGGCGAAAGGGUGAGUAACACGUGGGUUACCUGCCCUAGGGAUCGGGAUAACCUGCCGAAAGGCGGGCUAAUACCGGAUACGUUCCAUCGGAAACGAUGGAGGAAAGAUGGGGAUCCGUAAGGACCUAUCACCCUUGGAU